RNAcentral lists this ribosomal RNA (387 nucleotides) under alpha proteobacterium BAL190. RNAcentral's name for it is "bacterial SSU rRNA". It matches the Rfam family "Bacterial small subunit ribosomal RNA", at positions 60 to 495 of the family's 1533-position model. Lineage: Bacteria; Pseudomonadati; Pseudomonadota; Alphaproteobacteria. The record is from RNAcentral.
AGUCGAGCGCCCCGCAAGGGGAGCGGCAGACGGGUGAGUAACGCGUGGGAAUCUACCUAUCUCUACGGAACAACUCCGGGAAACUGGAGCUAAUACCGUAUACGCCCUUCGGGGGAAAGAUUUAUCGGAGAUAGAUGAGCCCGCGUUGGAUUAGCUAGUUGGUGGGGUAAUGGCCUACCAAGGCGACGAUCCAUAGCUGGUCUGAGAGGAUGAUCAGCCACACUGGGACUGAGACACGGCCCAGACUCCUACGGGAGGCAGCAGUGGGGAAUAUUGGACAAUGGGCGAAAGCCUGAUCCAGCCAUGCCGCGUGAGUGAUGAAGGCCCUAGGGUUGUAAAGCUCUUUCAACGGUGAAGAUAAUGACGGUAACCGUAGAAGAAGCCCCG